RNAcentral lists this microRNA precursor (205 nucleotides) under Oryza brachyantha (malo sina). RNAcentral's name for it is "MIR812 microRNA precursor family". The stretch from base 25 to 205 matches the Rfam family "MIR812 microRNA precursor family", at positions 27 to 205 of the family's 205-position model. Lineage: Eukaryota; Viridiplantae; Streptophyta; Magnoliopsida; Poales; Poaceae. The record is from Rfam by way of RNAcentral.
AAUAACUUUAUUUUUUAGGUUUUAUAUAAUGUUUUAAUUUUUCGUCUUAUUUAAAAUUUUUUAUGAUUAAUAUUUUUAUUGUUACUAGAUGAUAAAAUAUGAAUAGUACUUUAUGUGUAACUAAUAUUUUUAAAUUUUUAUACAAAAUUUUCAAAUAAGACGAAUGGUUAAACGUUGGACACGAAAAACGAAAAGUGAAGUUAUU